RNAcentral lists this ribosomal RNA (735 nucleotides) under Comamonas thiooxydans. Its description in RNAcentral is "partial 16S rRNA". Lineage: Bacteria; Pseudomonadati; Pseudomonadota; Betaproteobacteria; Burkholderiales; Comamonadaceae. The record is from RNAcentral.
GCUUUCGUGCAUGAGCGUCAGUGCAGGCCCAGGGGAUUGCCUUCGCCAUCGGUGUUCCUCCGCAUAUCUACGCAUUUCACUGCUACACGCGGAAUUCCAUCCCCCUCUGCCGCACUCUAGCCUUGCAGUCACAAUGGCAGUUCCCAGGUUGAGCCCGGGGAUUUCACCACUGUCUUACAAAACCGCCUGCGCACGCUUUACGCCCAGUAAUUCCGAUUAACGCUUGCACCCUACGUAUUACCGCGGCUGCUGGCACGUAGUUAGCCGGUGCUUAUUCUUACGGUACCGUCAUGACCCGGGGAUAUUAGCCCCAGGCUUUUCGUUCCGUACAAAAGCAGUUUACAACCCGAGGGCCUUCAUCCUGCACGCGGCAUUGCUGGAUCAGGCUUUCGCCCAUUGUCCAAAAUUCCCCACUGCUGCCUCCCGUAGGAGUCUGGGCCGUGUCUCAGUCCCAGUGUGGCUGGUCGUCCUCUCAGACCAGCUACAGAUCGCAGGCUUGGUAAGCCUUUACCCCACCAACUACCUAAUCUGCCAUCAGCCGCUCUAGUAGCACAAGGCCCGAAGGUCCCCUGCUUUCAUCCGUAGAUCUCAUGCGGUAUUAGCUACUCUUUCGAGUAGUUAUCCCCCACUACUAGGCACGUUCCGAUGUAUUACUCACCCGUUCGCCACUCGUCAGCAUCCGAAGACCUGUUACCGUUCGACUUGCAUGUGUAAAGCAUGCCGCCAGCGUUCAAU